UACUUCGGCAUGAAGACCCGCAGCCC
RNAcentral lists this non-coding RNA (26 nucleotides) under Homo sapiens (human). Lineage: Eukaryota; Metazoa; Chordata; Mammalia; Primates; Hominidae. The record is from RNAcentral.